This 1590-nucleotide ribosomal RNA is filed under the name Triticum aestivum (bread wheat). RNAcentral describes it as "partial small subunit ribosomal RNA". The record is from RNAcentral. Lineage: Eukaryota; Viridiplantae; Streptophyta; Magnoliopsida; Poales; Poaceae.
AUGGUGCUCCAAGCAGCAGCAACAUCCCUGGUGGCUUCUCUGCGGUCACCAUGGAGCGUGCUCUGCGGUGCCGCCGCCCUGCUAGUCGUAUGGGCGGUCGCCCUGGCGGCCGAGAGUUACUGGCUGAGGCCCCGGCGGCUCGGCCGGGCGCUCCGGACGCAGGGUCUCGGCGGCACGGCGUACCGCUUCCCCGCCGGGGACUCAGCCGAGAACGCCCGGCAGAGCCAGGAGGCGCUGUUCAAGCCCAUGCCGCCGUCGUGCCACGACGUUGUUCCCCGCGUGAUGCCGCACCUCCACAAGACUGUCAAGGAACACGGUGAAGUGUGCAUCACCUGGGACGCCCCGGAGCCCAGGGUCGUCAUCGCAAAGCCAGAGCUGGUGACCCAGAUCCUAUCUAGCAACUCUGGCCACUUCGAGAAACUCAGGACCAAUCUUGGAGACCUGGUAUGCCGCGGGGUCGGGACCUACGACGGCGAGAAAUGGGCGAGGCAUAGGAGGAUUCUCAACCCUGCUUUCCAUCUUGAAAAGCUCAAGGCCAUGUUCCCUGCUUUCUCCACGUGCUGCACCGAGCUGGUGGACAGAUGGGAGAGUAAACUACUGGCUGCAGGUUGUGAGGGGUCGGUCGAACUCGACGUCUCCCAGGAGUUCCCGGUCCUCACCGGAGACGUGAUCACCCGCACAUCGUUCGGUAGCAGCUUCACCGAAGGAAGAAGAAUCUUCGAGCUUCAAGUAGACCAGGCAAAGAGACUUAUGAAGCUCCUCCAGUAUUUGUACAUCCCGGGCUUCUUGUCCUUUCCUACUGAAAACAACAGGAGGAUGUGGGAGAACAAGCGGGAGAUAGAAGGGCUCGUGAGAGGGGUCGUCCAGAAGAGGGAGCGCGCGAUGGACAAGGACGGGGACAUUGGCAACGACAUGCUUGGCCUGAUGCUGCAGUCCAACAGGUCAUCCAAUUCCGACUUGCGGAUGAGCACUCAGGACGUCAUCGAGGAGUGCAAGCUCUUCUACUUCGCGGGAAUGGAGUCCACGCAGCAGCUGCUCACAUGGACAGUCGUCAUGCUAGGCAUGCACCCCGAGUGGCAGGACCGGGCGAGGGAGGAGGUUCUGGGCGUCUUCGGCAGGGACGGCAAACCCGGCUUCGACGGCCUUAAUCGACUCAAAACGAUGACGAUGAUAAUGUACGAGGUGCUCAGGCUGUACACGCCGGUGGUCACCAUGAACCGGAAAAUAAACAAAGAGAUGCGGAUCGGGGGCGUCACCUACCCUGCCGGAACGGUCCUGGAGCUACCCUUCCUCAUGGUUCACCACAACCCGAACGUGUGGGGGGAGGACGUGUCCGAGUUCAAGCCGCAGAGGUUCGCGGAGGGGAUCUCCAAGGCGACCAAGAAUGGCCAGGUGGGCUUCUUCCCGUUCGGCUGGGGGCCGAGGAUCUGCAUCGGCAAUAACUUCGCCAUGCUCGAGGCCAAGAUGGCCGUGAGCAUGAUCCUUCAGCGUUUCGAGUUCCGGCUCUCGCCUUCUUACGCCCAUGCGCCCUGCACCGUGAUAACGCUGCAUCCUCAGCAUGGCGCGCAAAUCAUACUCAAGAGCCUCUGA